AGAGUUUGAUCCUGGCUCACAAUGAACGUUGGCGGCGUGGAUUAGGCAUGCAAGUCGAGCGAGUCCAUCAUGUAGCAAUACAAGGUGAGUCGAGCGGCGUAAGGGGCAGUAAUACCUAGGAACGUACCCUGAGGUCGGGGAUAGCUGCUAGAAAUGGCGAGUAAUACCCGAUGAUCUCGAGAGAGCAAAGGCUUGCCGCCUUCGGAGCGGCCCAGGCGAUAUUAGCUAGUUGGUGAGGUAAUGGCUUACCAAGGCAUAGAUGUCUAGCGGGUGUGAGAGCACGACCCGCGCCACUGGCACUGAGACACUGGCCAGACACCUACGGGUGGCUGCAGUCGAGAAUCUUCGGCAAUGAGCGCAAGCUUGACCGAGCGACGCCGCGUGCGGGAUGAAGGCCUUCGGGUUGUAAACCGCUUUGGUCCGAAAGAAAGGGUAAAACUUGAUCGAUCGGAGAAACAAGGACGGGCUAAGUUCGUGCCAGCAGCCGCGGUAAGACGAACCCGUCCAAACGUUAUUCGGAAUCACUGGCUUAAAGGGCGCGUAGGCGCGCGAGUCGGGUCACGUGAAGUCCUCUGCAGCUUAACUGGAGACUUGCCCUUGAUCACACUCGGCGCUCGAGAAGGAGGGCCACUCGGAACUGUCGUGUGAGCGCGUGGAAUUGCGUGAAUAUCGACAGGAAUCGCCGGUGGCGGAAGGCGGAAUGCUUGUUCCUUUCUGGCCGCUGAAGGCGCGCAAAGCCAGGGGAGCAAACCGGGAAUAAGAUUCCCGGUUAGUCCUCGCUUUACCGAUGAAGAUCUAGGUAGUGGGUUCCGACUGUGCACACCUGCCGGAAGCGAAGUCUUAAGUCUCGCUCUGGGAAGUAUGGUUCGCAAGGGCGUGAAACUUCAAAGGGAAUUUGGACGGUUCACAAAGCGGGUGGAGCAUGGUGGCUUUGAUCUUCGAGGGCUACGCGGAAGAACCUUACCCAGGGCUUGACCUGGUGCGAAAGCCGCCCAAGUGUACCCCUGCGGAAACGCAGGGGAACCCCGCCAAGGGGGGACUUGGUACAGGUGCUGCCAUGGCUGUCGUCAGCUCGUGUCGUGAGAUGUCGGGUUAAGUCCCAUAACGAGCGAAACCCUUGCCCUUAGUUGCUACGCAAGAGCACUCUAGGGGGACUGCCGGUGUCAAACCGGAGGAAGGCGGGGAUGACGUCAAGUCCUCAUGGCCCUUACGCCUGGGGCUGCACACGUGCUACAAUGCGGCAGACAAAGGGACGCCAACUGGCAACAGUGCGCUAAUCCCAAAAAAUGUCGCUCAGUUCAGAUUGUGGGCUGCAACUCGCCCGCAUGAAGCUGGAAUCGCUAGUAAUCGCGGGUCAGCAACACCGCGGCGAAUGUGUUCCUGAGCCUUGUACACACCGCCCGUCAAGCCACGAAAGGAAGGGGCGCCCAAAGCCGCGUCAGCGUCAAAGGCGAAACUUGUGAUUGGGACUAAGUCGUAACAAGGUAACC
RNAcentral lists this ribosomal RNA (1490 nucleotides) under uncultured bacterium. Its description in RNAcentral is "16S ribosomal RNA". It matches the Rfam family "Bacterial small subunit ribosomal RNA". The record is from RNAcentral.